This 590-nucleotide ribosomal RNA is filed under the name uncultured bacterium. RNAcentral's name for it is "bacterial SSU rRNA". It matches the Rfam family "Bacterial small subunit ribosomal RNA", at positions 224 to 806 of the family's 1533-position model. The record is from RNAcentral.
GAUGAGUCUGCGUCCCAUUAGCUAGACGGCGGGGUAACGGCCCACCGUGGCGACGAUGGGUAGCCGGCCUGAGAGGGUGGACGGCCACAUUGGAACUGAGACACGGUCCAGACUCCUACGGGAGGCAGCAGCUAAGAAUCUUCCGCAAUGGGCGAAAGCCUGACGGAGCGACGCCGCGUGAACGAAGAAGGCCGUGAGGUUGUAAAGUUCUUUUCGGGAGGGGGAACAACCGUGGCAGGGAAUGGCCGCGGGAUGACGUGAAUCCCGGAAUAAGCCCCGGCUAACUACGUGCCAGCAGCCGCGGUAACACGUAGGGGGCGAGCGUUGUUCGGAAUCAUUGGGCGUAAAGGGCGUGCAGGCGGUCCUGCAAGUCCGGCGUGAAAGACCCCGGCCCAACCGGGGGGGCGCGCUGGAAACUGGAGGGCUUGAGUACAGGAGGGGAUGCCGGAAUUCCAGGUGUAGGGGUGAAAUCUGUAGAUAUCUGGAAGAACACCAAUGGCGAAGGCAGGCAUCUGGCCAUGUACUGACGCUGAGACGCGAAGGUGCGGGGAGCAAACAGGUUUAGAUACCCUGGUAGUCCGCACAGUAAA